Molecule: ribosomal RNA, 298 nt
Filed under: Providencia rettgeri
Lineage: Bacteria; Pseudomonadati; Pseudomonadota; Gammaproteobacteria; Enterobacterales; Morganellaceae
Description: partial 16S ribosomal RNA
Rfam family: Bacterial small subunit ribosomal RNA
Source: RNAcentral
UAAUUGAAGAGUUUGAUCAUGGCUCAGAUUGAACGCUGGCGGCAGGCCUAACACAUGCAAGUCGAGCGGUAACAGGGGAAGCUUGCUUCUCGCUGACGAGCGGCGGACGGGUGAGUAAUGUAUGGGGAUCUGCCCGAUAGAGGGGGAUAACUACUGGAAACGGUAGCUAAUACCGCAUAAUCUCUCAGGAGCAAAGCAGGGGAACUUCGGUCCUUGCGCUAUCGGAUGAACCCAUAUGGGAUUAGCUAGUAGGUGAGGUAAUGGCUCACCUAGGCGACGAUCCCUAGCUGGUCUGAGA